AUUGAACGCUGGCGGCAGGCCUAACACAUGCAAGUCGAGCGGAUGAAGGGAGCUUGCUCCUGGAUUCAGCGGCGGACGGGCGAGUAAUGCCUAGGAAUCUGCCUGGUAGUGGGGGAUAACGUCCGGAAACGGGCGCUAAUACCGCAUACGUCCUGAGGGAGAAAGUGGGGGAUCUUCGGACCUCACGCUAUGAGAUGAGCCUAGGUCGGAUUAGCUAGGUGGUGGGUUAAAGGCCUACCAUGGCGACGAUCCGUAACUGGUCUGAGAGGAUGAUCAGUCACCCUGGAUCUGAGACACGGCCGAGACUCCUACGGUGGGCCGCAGUGGGGAAUAUUGGACAAUGGACGAAAGCCUGAUCCAGCCAUGCCGCGUGUGUGAAGAAGGUCUUCUGAUUGUAAAGCACUGUAAGUUGUGAGGAAGGGCAGUAAGUUAAUACCUUGCUGUUUUGACGUUACCAACAGAAUAAGCACCGGCUAACUUCGUG
Molecule: ribosomal RNA, 484 nt
Filed under: uncultured bacterium
Lineage: Bacteria
Description: partial 16S ribosomal RNA
Rfam family: Bacterial small subunit ribosomal RNA
Source: RNAcentral